UUGUAUGUAGGUAAGCGUAAGCAGACUCCUGCCCUUUUGUACUGUACACCAUGGCAAUGCUGAAGAAGGGCACGGGCGUCCUGUGUUUCGUGGCCACCGUCAUGGUGGUCAUGGCUACCACCCUUCUUCUCUCCUCCUGCGACGCCCACAAAGAGGAAGAUGAGACUGCUGCGUUUCCCUUGCCGGCGCCAUGCUACUCCAUCUCUUUCCCAAACUGUACCGACGACAAGUGCAAGAUGUUUUGCGACAGCGUAGGCAAGCGGCUGGCCCCCAAGGCAUUCUGCAAUGACAACAAUAACUGUUGAUGUCCUGUCAUUCAAGUAUAAGUGUCUGCUGAAGCAACUGAGCUAAGAAAUAAUUAAAUAAAACUAUAUUCGUAAUUGCUUUUGAUCUGGGAGCUUCCAGCAUGGACUGUUGCCCGGACUCAUCAAGAUGUUUGAAAUCAUUGUAAACCGACUUUUCGAUAAUUUGUUGUGUUCGGCAGCUUUUGUUUAUCCUGUGUGUAUCUCUAGUUCGUGUAUGUGGAGACCGAUUGAAAAUAAUUAAGUUUAAC
This is a long non-coding RNA of Triticum dicoccoides, 553 nucleotides long. RefSeq lists it as uncharacterized. NCBI's taxonomy places the organism in Eukaryota, Viridiplantae, Streptophyta, Magnoliopsida, Poales, Poaceae. The transcript is spliced from 2 exons. The record is from RefSeq and is a predicted model, not a curated record.